Molecule: transfer RNA, 71 nt
Filed under: Pangasianodon gigas (Mekong giant catfish)
Lineage: Eukaryota; Metazoa; Chordata; Actinopteri; Siluriformes; Pangasiidae
Description: tRNA-Gly
Rfam family: tRNA
About the family: Transfer RNA (tRNA) molecules are approximately 80 nucleotides in length.
Source: RNAcentral
GCGCCAGUGGUGUAAUGGUAUCAUACAAGCUUCCCAUUCUUGUGAACUGGGUUCAAUUCCCGGCUGGCACG